Molecule: ribosomal RNA, 166 nt
Filed under: Eugenia florida
Lineage: Eukaryota; Viridiplantae; Streptophyta; Magnoliopsida; Myrtales; Myrtaceae
Description: 5.8S ribosomal RNA
Rfam family: 5.8S ribosomal RNA
About the family: 5.8S ribosomal RNA (5.8S rRNA) is a component of the large subunit of the eukaryotic ribosome.
Source: RNAcentral
UAACGACUCUCGGCAACGGAUAUCUCGGCUCUCGCAUCGAUGAAGAACGUAGCGAACUGCGAUACUUGGUGUGAAUUGCAGAAUCCCGUGAACCAUCGAGUCUUUGAACGCAAGUUGCGCCCGAAUUCAAAUCCGUUUGGAUGAGGGCACGUUUGCCUGGGUGUCA